AUCUAUGGCCAUACCAUCCUGAAUGCACCCUGUCUCAUCUGAUCUCAGAAACUAAGCAGGGUCAGACCUGGUUAGUACUUGGAUGGGAGAAAUUGAAAACAUUGGUUGUUGUAUCAA
This 117-nucleotide ribosomal RNA is filed under the name Prolemur simus (greater bamboo lemur). The record is from RNAcentral. Lineage: Eukaryota; Metazoa; Chordata; Mammalia; Primates; Lemuridae.